AGAAAAUGGUAAAAUUGAGUUUUUAAUUAAGUAAAAAAAAAAACAUUUUGUGUAGGAGCUCUUACAUGAAUUCACAAAUAUUUGUAAUCUUCUUCCUAGAGAAAACAAACAAAAGCCUGGUGUUCUGUUACCUAUUGGUGUCUGUCCCAAUAGGAACACAGCCCAAGAGUGUGGAGUGCAGAGAAGCAGAAGAAGGAUGCUCACAAGAAGACCAAUGAUUAAAUAUCUGGCUCAUAAUCACAGACAGACACCAGGAUUGUGCUAGGAUUGUCCCAUCAGCUGGGAGGAGCUGGGGAGACCGAGAUGAGCAAAGCUGACCUUAUUGAAAGAAGAAGGAACUGCUUCCACAUUGUCAAAACCGUAUUGGGACAAAUUGGUGUUCUUUUCAUUUAUCAGUAGAGAAGAAAACUCAAAGGACUACCACUCAGAAAGUCAAAUCAUCAGUCCACAGUCUCUCUGUGCCUAUAGAAUUAAGGGACAAAUUCUCUGCUGUUAUACGCUGGUCCAGGAGGAGGCUGAUGACAAAAGGGAAGGAGGGAAUGAUUGGAAAAUAAUGACAUACUUUACCAGUCUACGUCUCCUGAGGAACAGGCUCUUUGUUUUAAAACAGUAAAUUGUUUCUCUGCCUUCACAUCCAGCAUCAAGAGUCUGGUACAUACUAGAAACAACAGACAUUAUUUGAGGUAAUCUUGAGGUCUCUAAGAGCCAAAGAAGAUGCACAGGCAAAGUCCUGAAGCCUCUCUCCCACCCUGUCUCAGAAAUUGAAAGUGUUUUAAACUAAGAGCUGGUAGAAUAAGGAAAAUAAAAUAUGUCUGGAUAUGAACUGAUCUCUUUGA
This 836-nucleotide long non-coding RNA is filed under the name Phasianus colchicus (ring-necked pheasant). RNAcentral's name for it is "lncRNA (ENSPCLG00000007924.1)". Lineage: Eukaryota; Metazoa; Chordata; Aves; Galliformes; Phasianidae. The record is from RNAcentral.